RNAcentral lists this ribosomal RNA (497 nucleotides) under uncultured bacterium. RNAcentral's name for it is "partial 16S ribosomal RNA". It matches the Rfam family "Bacterial small subunit ribosomal RNA", at positions 28 to 507 of the family's 1533-position model. The record is from RNAcentral.
GAUAAACGCUGGCGGCGUGCCUAAUACAUGCAAGUCGAGCGAACGGACGAGAAGCUUGCUUCUCUGAUGUUAGCGGCGGACGGGAGAGUAACACGUGGAUAACCUACCUAUAAGACUGGGAUAACUUCGGGAAACCGGAGCUAAUACCGGAUAAUAUUUUGAACCGCAUGGUUCAAAAGUGAAAGACGGUCUUGCUGUCACUUAUAGAUGGAUCCGCGCUGCAUUAGCUAGUUGGUAAGGUAACGGCUUACCAAGGCAACGAUGCAUAGCCGACCUGAGAGAGUGAUCGGCCACACUGGAGCUGGGACGCGGUCCAGACUCCUACGGGAGGCAGCAGUAGGGAAUCUUCCGCAAUAGGCGAAAGCCUGACGGAGCAACGCCGCGUGAGUGAUGAAGGUCUUCGGAUCGUAAAACUCUGUUAUUAGGGAAGAACAUAUGUGUAAGUAACUGUGCACAUCGUGACGGUACCUAAUCAGAAAGCCACGGCUAACUACGUG